RNAcentral lists this transfer RNA (87 nucleotides) under Roseovarius sp. RNAcentral's name for it is "tRNA-Leu". It matches the Rfam family "tRNA". From Rfam's summary of the family: Transfer RNA (tRNA) molecules are approximately 80 nucleotides in length. Their secondary structure includes four short double-helical elements and three loops (D, anti-codon, and T loops). Lineage: Bacteria; Pseudomonadati; Pseudomonadota; Alphaproteobacteria; Rhodobacterales; Roseobacteraceae. The record is from RNAcentral.
GCCCAGGUGGCGGAAUUGGUAGACGCGCAAGCUUCAGGUGCUUGUGUCCUUAAGGGCGUGGAGGUUCGAGUCCUCUUCUGGGCACCA